Molecule: long non-coding RNA, 155 nt
Organism: Cynara cardunculus var. scolymus (artichoke)
Lineage: Eukaryota; Viridiplantae; Streptophyta; Magnoliopsida; Asterales; Asteraceae
Exons: 3
Source: RefSeq, a predicted model, not a curated record
UUUGAUGUCAAAUUCAGGAUUUCAUUUAUGCAUUCAGAUUUCUCCAUCACUCUCCAGUUCACCCUUUAUCAUGAGUAACAUCGACAACUUCUGAUGCUUACCAAGAGCAGGCUCAGAAUGGCUUCAAAAUACCCCAAGAGAAAAGCAAAACUUGC